RNAcentral lists this non-coding RNA (22 nucleotides) under Arabidopsis thaliana (thale cress). The record is from RNAcentral. Lineage: Eukaryota; Viridiplantae; Streptophyta; Magnoliopsida; Brassicales; Brassicaceae.
CAAAGAAAGGUGUUGAACGGCU